UGAGGAAUAUUGGUCAAUGGGCGCAAGCCUGAACCAGCCAUCCCGCGUGCAGGAAGACGGCGCUAUGCGUUGUAAACUGCUUUUCCAGGGAGAGAAACUUGCGCACGUGUUGCGCAAUUGACGGUACCCUGGGAAUAAGCAUCGGCUAACUCCGCGCCAGCAGCCGCGGUAAUACGGAGGAUGCGAGCGUUAUCCGGAUUCAUUGGGUUUAAAGGGUGCGUAGGCGGACUAUUAAGUCAGUGGUGAAAUCCUGCAGCUUAACUGCAGAACUGCCAUUGAUACUGAUAGCCUUGAGUUUGGUGAAGGUAGGCGGAAUGUGUAAUGUAGCGGUGAAAUGCUUAGAUAUUACACAGAACACCAAUUGCGUAGGCAGCUUACUGAGCCGACACUGACGCUGAGGCACGAAAGCGUGGGG
This 415-nucleotide ribosomal RNA is filed under the name uncultured bacterium. Its description in RNAcentral is "bacterial SSU rRNA". It matches the Rfam family "Bacterial small subunit ribosomal RNA", at positions 355 to 766 of the family's 1533-position model. The record is from RNAcentral.